Molecule: microRNA precursor, 197 nt
Filed under: Oryza nivara
Lineage: Eukaryota; Viridiplantae; Streptophyta; Magnoliopsida; Poales; Poaceae
Description: MIR812 microRNA precursor family
Rfam family: MIR812 microRNA precursor family
Source: Rfam by way of RNAcentral
GAAAAAAAAAAUCUUAGAUUUCUAUGUCGGACUUUGACUGUCCGUCUUAUAUAAAAUUUUUUUAUAAUUUGUAUUUUUAUUGUUGUUAGAUGAUAAAACAUGAUUUUAUACGUGACUUGUCUUUUUAAUUUUUUUAUAAUUUUUUUAAAUAAGUCGGACAGUCAAAUAUUAGACACGGAAAUUAGGAUGGGUUUGUC